AAAUGACGUUGUUCAAGGUAGUGAGCAUCAGACUAUUGUUCGAUUGAUUGUAAAAAAAUGUUUAUUGAUCAUUGAGCAGACGUAAAACAGGAAAUGGCGGAAAGAAUCCUAGCAGACGACAGUUGUCGCGCAGAUGCAAUCAUGCACCAUAUCAGAUUGCCCGAAAUUACGGACUGGCCUAGCUCUAUACUGGACUCGCUUUCAGCAGGUAGCAGACGACAAUAAAUUGUAAAGUGGAAAUUUGCGACUUCCGGUGUGUCUGCUACUCGAUGUUGUGAUCUCAGUUACUUCCCCUGACGUUCAGUGUUAAGUUAAGGAAAGAACGAAAGAUAUGAAAUGAGCACCGGCAAACUGAUCUUGGCAUGUUACAUCCUUAUCGCAGAACUGGAGCCUACUGAUUAAGAUGAGG
Ruditapes philippinarum (Manila clam) is the source of this 409-nucleotide long non-coding RNA. RefSeq lists it as uncharacterized. NCBI's taxonomy places the organism in Eukaryota, Metazoa, Mollusca, Bivalvia, Venerida, Veneridae. The transcript has 4 exons. The record is from RefSeq and is a predicted model, not a curated record.